RNAcentral lists this ribosomal RNA (495 nucleotides) under uncultured bacterium. Its description in RNAcentral is "partial 16S ribosomal RNA". It matches the Rfam family "Bacterial small subunit ribosomal RNA", at positions 30 to 507 of the family's 1533-position model. The record is from RNAcentral.
UGAACGCUGGCGGCGUGCCUAAUACAUGCAAGUCGAGCGAACAGACGAGGAGCUUGCUCCUCUGACGUUAGCGGCGGACGGGUGAGUAACACGUGGAUAACCUACCUAUAAGACUGGGAUAACUUCGGGAAACCGGAGCUAAUACCGGAUAAUAUAUUGAACCGCAUGGUUCAAUAGUGAAAGACGGUUUUGCUGUCACUUAUAGAUGGAUCCGCGCCGCAUUAGCUAGUUGGUAAGGUAACGGCUUACCAAGGCAACGAUGCGUAGCCGACCUGAGAGGGUGAUCGGCCACACUGGGACUGAGACACGGUCCAGACUCCUACGGGAGGCAGCAGUAGGGAAUCUUCCGCAAUGGGCGAAAGCCUGACGGAGCAACGCCGCGUGAGUGAUGAAGGUCUUCGGAUCGUAAAACUCUGUUAUUAGGGAAGAACAAAUGUGUAAGUAACUAUGCACGUCUUGACGGUACCUAAUCAGAAAGCCACGGCUAACUACGUG